This 378-nucleotide unclassified non-coding RNA is filed under the name plant metagenome. RNAcentral's name for it is "partial contains 5.8S ribosomal RNA, internal transcribed spacer 2, and large subunit ribosomal RNA". The stretch from base 1 to 105 matches the Rfam family "5.8S ribosomal RNA", at positions 50 to 154 of the family's 154-position model. The record is from RNAcentral.
GAAAUGCGAUAAGUAAUGUGAAUUGCAGAAUUCAGUGAAUCAUCGAAUCUUUGAACGCACCUUGCGCUCCUUGGUAUUCCUUGGAGCAUGCCUGUUUGAGUAUCAUGAAAUCUUCAAAGUAAAUCUUUUGUUAACUCAAUUGGCUUCUACUUUGGUAUUGGAGGUCUUUGCAGCUUCACACCUGCUCCUCUUUGUUCAUUAGCUGGAUCUCAAUGUUAUGCUUGGUUCCACUCGGCGUGAUAAGUUAUCUAUCGCUGAGGACACUGUAAAAGGUGGCCAAGGUAAAUGCAGAUGAACCGCUUCUAAUAGUCCAUUGACUUGGACAAUACUUUUAUGAUCUGAUCUCAAAUCAGGUAGGACUACCCGCUGAACUUAAGC